AGGUGGAACGCAAGCACAGAUGUCCAGAGUGUGCUUCUGGGGCGCUGGGGAGACCUUGAAAGCCCCUUGAGAAGCCACUCUGGCUAUCAGUGGCCUUCGCGUAUGAAAGACCAUGGCAAACUAAGUGGAGGCCGAGAGAGGCUUUCAUGAUCCAUCGCAAUGAGCAUGUUGGAAUCUUGGUUUGUACCAAAACAAAACUAGUUGUUUUAAUUAGUUCUUCUUGCUUGGAAGUUAAGAUGGUCCUCCUCGAUGUUGAGUAAACCUGUUGAUGUGUGAAGCCUGGGGAUUACAGAUGGAAAGUGUUACGGAAGAAAUGGGAAAUAGCAUGAGCCCUCUGUGAGCUUCCUGAAGUGUGGCCACAAGUUCAUACCAUUUCUGGGAAGUUCAAAGCACUUCUCACAGUCCUUCCACGGUUACCAUGGAAACUCCCCAAUAGGAUGCAUAGCCAGAGGCAUCAUACAAACGAGGAACUGGGCAGACCUUUAUACGCCACUCCAGCAUCUCAUUGGCUCUCAAGUCGCCAGACAUGGCACGGUAUCUUUCUCAUGGAGUGGCUCCAUCGCCUCAUCCAGCAUCAGCGGCCUCUAGCCACACUGGCAGAUUCCAUGUUGGCUUGGGGAGGAAGUAUCAACUGCGCAUGCGCCAGCUUUGCAGCUGGUCCUGCUUGGCUACAAAGUUCCUCCUAUAUUCAGGAACCUACG
RNAcentral lists this long non-coding RNA (701 nucleotides) under Rattus norvegicus (Norway rat). RNAcentral's name for it is "long non-coding RNA NONRATT032136". The record is from RNAcentral. Lineage: Eukaryota; Metazoa; Chordata; Mammalia; Rodentia; Muridae.